Long non-coding RNA from Lotus japonicus, 2156 nucleotides. RefSeq lists it as uncharacterized. The transcript is spliced from 4 exons. The record is from RefSeq and is a predicted model, not a curated record. NCBI's taxonomy places the organism in Eukaryota, Viridiplantae, Streptophyta, Magnoliopsida, Fabales, Fabaceae.
UUUUCAGUUUCAAAAAUGUAAACAGACGCUUCCCCUUUCACCUUACCUUCUUCCUUUUCUCCUUCUCUCAGCCGUUUCUAGGUUUCAAGUCGUUUAAAACCUUCUCUCAAACACACUGCUUUUCCGUGUCUGCCUCUGAUUUCAGGACCUCCUCGACACCCUCCCUCGCCCUUCCACCGCCGUCUGGAAAACCUUCAUCAUGGGCUUCAUCUGCGACCGGGUGCCAGGGUUUUCAUACUCGAUUUGGGUUUUCCUGCAAUUUUUCAGAUUUGGUGCGCCUUUGCUGGGAUUAUGGGGUUCCAGUUUGUGCUUUGGUGUCGUUCUUCUAUGUUGUUCUUGAUUGUGGUAUUGAAUUUUCUUUCAUGAACCAAAAACACAAUUUUCCUUAAUUUUUUUCAUGGUUUUCUAGACUUUUUAGACAGUGAUUGGGUUUGGAUCUCUUGAUGACAUGAAAAGGCCUCAGCUACUGUUUUACCUUGGUAUUAUAUAUGUUCUCUUGGAGUAAAAAAUGCAGGAUGUUAUGGCUCAUUCUACAGAAGUAGAAUUUAUUGCAGCAACAGUUGUAAAUCAAUCCUUAUAGUGUUUUUACAGUUGAGUUUUUUAUUUGAGUUUUUAGUUUUUUUCUUUUUUUUUAUAAUUUUGGACAUGAGAAAGUAAGGGUCUGUGGCUAAGUUGUGUUACAUUGCAUCUUGAUGUUCAUUCGAGAGAACUGGUGAAGGGGCAGGGGCUUAGUGAGUGGGGGAAAAUUAUUCUCUUCUAUAAGGUAACCUCCCAAAAUCUGCAUUAUUGUGUGUCUUUUAAGAUUUUUAUUUCCAUCUUGGUUUAAUUGGUGUAGAAUUAUCCAAGUUCAUUCUCAUUAUAUGCUUCACUUUGAUGCUUAUUCAAGAAAAUUGUCUAUAUAAAAUGACAAUCACUGUAUAAUUAAGUAAUUGUUAUUUCAUGAAUUAUUACUCUACAGUUUCAUUUCUUCCAUAACGGCUGAUUUCAAUCUUGCCAAAUUACAAGUUAUUUUCAUUGAAUUGUUAUUAUGAUAGUUAAUAUAGCAAAGAAGCCUUUGAUAGCUUAGGCAGUUUCAAACGGCAUUACUUUUUAUAAUAAUUGCCAAUAAGUGGCAUUCCUUUUAAGUAUCUUACAUUAAUAGGCAUUUGCAUCAACAUUUUUAUUGCUAUUUUGGCAUUUUAUUUGUGUGACCUACACCAGUAUUUUGGCAUCUUAGUGUUUAUAAUCAUUCAAGUUAGCGAAACUAAUGCACGGCCUAAUACCUAUUUUCUAUGAACAGUUUAAUUACCUAUGUUAUUGGUUGUGUAGGCUGAACCUAAAACAGAUGAAGUAUAUGAUCAGACAACUUUGCUUCCUGAAGCAGAUGUGAGUGCGCUCUGACUUAGAAUUAGAAUAUUGUUUCUGCAACCACAACUUUUCUUUUUGCAGAUAUUCUGUCUGCAAUCGAUCUCAUCCCUUUGUUGCUUCAAUAUUCUAUAAAUGCUUCUCCUGGAUGUUCCCAGUUGCAUUGUUUUGGAUUCUCUUUGAUUCUACAUGCUUGGGUGAUCAAGUAGCCAAUUAAGGUUUUGGAUUCUCUGAUUCUGCAUGCUUGGUAGAAUGAGUUGGAAAUUAAGGUGGUGAAUCUUAUCUUGGAGCCUUAAAUUGAUAUCACAACCAGCUAUAUUUUUCAAGAGUGUGGUUCAAGUGUAUCAUCUUAUCCGAACUAAAGACAGAUGUUCUCAGGAACGAAAAAAGUAGGAGUAACGAAGAAGAUAAAUGAGAAUGGAUAUGAGAAUUCUUACUGAAUGUACAAGUUGCUGCAUUGUUGUCUCCCACCAAGGUAUGAAUCAUCCGUCUUUUUACUUUUUUCACCUUUGUUAUUUCUUUCCUCUUUCACUCCCAUUCCAUGUUAUGUUUUUUUUUUGUUGCCUUCUUUGAAGUUUUAUUUUUCAGCCUAUGCAUUCCCAAGACUAUUCACAAGUACAAUGCUUAUAAGGAUGUUGGUCUUUCUACUUACUGAUUAUAUGAUGAAUUAGAAUUAUGUGAGCAGAGAGAGAAGGCUGGGACAGAAAAAUGCUAAAAUGAGUUAUUUUAGAUUGCAAGAACGUCAAUCUUUCCAGAACAAGAAAGUAAAGUUCUCAGCCAGCAGAGGCAGCAUCAAAGUGAAGGACAAGAAA